AGAGUUUGAUCAUGGCUCAGAACGAACGCUGGCGGCGUGCUUAACACAUGCAAGUCGCGUGCGCAGUUGCCGUAGCAAUACGGUGAUGGGCGCACGGCGCACGGGUGCGUAACACGUGGGCAAUCUGCCCUUUGAUGGGGAAUAACCCGCCGAAAGGCGGGCUAAUUCCGCAUAAGAUUCUUUGGACCUCGGUCUGAAGAUUGAAAGCAGCAAUGCGUCGAAGGAGGAGCCCGCGCCCGAUUAGCUAGUUGGUGAGGUAAUGGCUCACCAAGGCUUUGAUCGGUAGCUGGUCUGAGAGGAUGAUCAGCCACACUGGAACUGAGACACGGUCCAGACUCCUACGGGAGGCAGCAGUGGGGAGUCUUGCACAAUGGGCGAAAGCCUGAUGCAGCGACGCCGCGUGGGGGAUGAAGCAUUUCGGUGUGUAAACCCCUUUCGACUGGGAAGAAUACCUCGCAAGAGGGGUGACGGUACCAGUAGAAGAAGCCCCGGCUAACUACGUGCCAGCAGCCGCGGUAAGACGUAGGGGGCCAGCGUUGUUCGGAAUUACUGGGUGUAAAGGGUUCGUAGGCGGUGCGGCAAGUUGGGAGUGAAAUCUCUGGGCUCAACCCAGAGGCUGCUUCCAAAACUGCUGUGCUCGAGUGUGAGAGAGGCUCGUGGAAUUGCAGGUGUAGCGGUGAAAUGCGUAGAUAUCUGCAGGAACACCCGUGGCGAAAGCGGCGAGCUGGAUCACUACUGACGCUGAGGAACGAAAGCUAGGGGAGCAAACAGGAUUAGAUACCCUAGUAGUCC
This 792-nucleotide ribosomal RNA is filed under the name uncultured bacterium. RNAcentral describes it as "bacterial SSU rRNA". It matches the Rfam family "Bacterial small subunit ribosomal RNA", at positions 8 to 796 of the family's 1533-position model. The record is from RNAcentral.